UGGGGAAUUUUGGACAAUGGGCGCAAGCCUGAUCCAGCAAUGCCGCGUGCAGGAUGAAGGCCUUCGGGUUGUAAACUGCUUUUGUACGGAACGAAACGGUCUUUUCUAAUACAGAAGGCUAAUGACGGUACCGUAAGAAUAAGCACCGGCUAACUACGUGCCAGCAGCCGCGGUAAUACGUAGGGUGCGAGCGUUAAUCGGAAUUACUGGGCGUAAAGCGUGCGCAGGCGGUUUUGUCAGUCAGAUGUGAAAUCCCCGGGCUCAACCUUGGAACUGCAUUUGUGACUGUAUAGAUAGAGUACGGCAGAGGGGGAUGGAAUUCCGCGUGUAGCAGUGAAAUGCGUAGAUAUGCGGAGGAACACCGAUGGCGAAGGCAAUCCCCUGGGCCUGUACUGACGCUCAUGCACGAAAGCGUGGGGAGCAAACA
Molecule: ribosomal RNA, 427 nt
Filed under: uncultured bacterium
Lineage: Bacteria
Description: bacterial SSU rRNA
Rfam family: Bacterial small subunit ribosomal RNA
Source: RNAcentral